Non-coding RNA from Cinara cedri, 261 nucleotides. The record is from the annotation of a GenBank genome assembly. NCBI's taxonomy places the organism in Eukaryota, Metazoa, Arthropoda, Insecta, Hemiptera, Aphididae.
ACUGUUGAAUAAUAAAAAAAAUGUAUGCAUCUUAUUAAAAAAAAAAAAAAAAAAGAAAUUAUUAUAACUAAUUAUUUUCAAAAAUUCUAAAUCGAAAAAAAAAAUAAAAAUUCAACCUAUAUCAAUAUAGAAUUUUGUUUCGGAGUCGUAACAUUUUAAGCGAAUGAUAUUUGUGGACAACCGAGCAUUAUAUAAUAAUAGACUACAUUUUUUUAAGUUAAACAAUGACGAGCUUUAAAAUGUCUUAUAGUUAACCCUUUG